UCAGAGCAGAAACACCUACAUAGAGCCACAGUACUCAGGAGUGAAGCUUUUGUAUAUUUGUAAAGAUGUCAAGGAAUCUUACCCAAGUGUGGUAUAUUUCCUUGCUUUCUAGGGGCUUAUUUCCUACUCACUUUGGUGUAUCUCCCACAUAGAACAGAUCCUGAAUCCAAGAAGGUCAAAAAGGAAUCAUAGUACAGUUUGGAGGCAUGAGCAUAGGAAAGUAGCUUACACAAACUGGUCUAAACUUAAAGGGUUAAAGAACUGGUCCAUUUCUGUGUUUUUUUCCUUUAGAUGAUCUUUCUGUGCACUUGUAUCACUUUGAAGAAAACCCAUCAAUAGCCAAAAUUUGAAUGCAGCUUUUACAGGAAAAGAGCCAAGCUAGUUACACACUGCUUUGGGUCUACUUCUUUGUAUUUUAUGCAAAAGGAAUCUCCUCAGAAUUCCACAUCCCCCACUUACCAAGACUGAGACAUUCUACUCAAUAACACAAGAAGUACAUGCGCUCGACUCCUCUAGUCACAUCUACCAGGAUCUGUUGAAAAGUCUGUGGCCCUGCAACUGCCAAGUUAUGCAGUGCCAAACCCAAGUCCUCUAAAACACCUCUUAUCAUCACCUUGAGAUAGUUAUACUUGCUCCCAGCUCCCUUGCAAGCCUGAGACCCACUCCCACAUCUCCUUCAUACACAGGCCACAACAGAUAUCAAGAAGUAAUCUUGCUAACAUCAAUGCUUGAAUUAACAAGAGAAUUGGAACCAAAUUUGGCUGAAGAUAAACACUUUUAAAAACACAUCAUACAGGGACGCCUGGGUGAAGUUGAGCCUCUGCUUUCAACUCAGGGCGUGAUCCUGCGUCUGG
Molecule: long non-coding RNA, 854 nt
Organism: Canis lupus familiaris (dog)
Lineage: Eukaryota; Metazoa; Chordata; Mammalia; Carnivora; Canidae
Exons: 3
Source: RefSeq, a predicted model, not a curated record